AUGUGUAGGUUUCUAAAGGAAGCAGGAGCUGCACUAGCCGCGGGGCAGGAAAGGCGGAGUCAGCAGCACCCCCGGGAAGCCGGCGCGCCAGGGUUUGCUAGAAGCUGGCCUGGAACCUGGCCUCCUGCCCGCCGGGCCCAGACAGGUGAACAGAAGCUCUUGGGGACCGAGCCCGGGCCUGCGGGCACGAGUGGUUAUAAAAGGUACCUAGACCAAGAUCUGUUCAGAAGGGAUACAGAUGGGCAAAAUGGGGCCAGGGAUUUAGCUCAGUGGUGCCGCUGCCUGCCUCCCAAGUGCAAGGACCCGAGUUCGAACGUGGUACCAAAAACAAGAACGAAAAACAAAACAAAACAAACCGUAUAACAAACAGGUAAAAUGGGGCUGGUGGAGUUCACUCAAUCAUGAACUGAAUU
RNAcentral lists this long non-coding RNA (413 nucleotides) under Fukomys damarensis (Damara mole-rat). RNAcentral's name for it is "lncRNA (ENSFDAG00000022180.1)". Lineage: Eukaryota; Metazoa; Chordata; Mammalia; Rodentia; Bathyergidae. The record is from RNAcentral.